UGGGGAAUAUUGCACAAUGGGCGCAAGCCCGAUGCAGCCAUGCCGCGUGUAUGAAGAAGGCCUUCGGGUUGUAAAGUACUUUCAGCGGGGAGGAAGGGAGUAAAGUUAAUACCUUUGCCCAUUGACGUUACCCGCAGAAGAAGCACCGGCUAACUCCGUGCCAGCAGCCGCGGUAAUACGGAGGGUGCAAGCGUUAAUCGGAAUUACUGGGCGUAAAGCGCACGCAGGCGGUUUGUUAAGUCAGAUGUGAAAUCCCCGGGCUCAACCUGGGAAGUGCAUCUGAUACUGGCAAGCUUGGGUCUCGUAGAGGGGGGUAGAAUUCCAGAUGUAGCGGUGAAAUGCGUAGAGAUCUUGAGGAAUACCGGUGGCGAAGGCGGCCCCCGGGACGAAGACUGACGCUCACGUGCGAAAGCGUGGGGAGCAAACAGG
Molecule: ribosomal RNA, 429 nt
Filed under: Chloroflexota bacterium
Lineage: Bacteria; Bacillati; Chloroflexota
Description: Chloroflexi bacterium partial 16S ribosomal RNA
Rfam family: Bacterial small subunit ribosomal RNA
Source: RNAcentral